UCGACCAGGUAUAAAGGUGCAACUAGAGAGCCAAAGGGAGAGGCUGAUCCUCAAAGCUGGAGAUGCCAAUGUUCUCUCAGUAUCUGAUGGAACAAGUUGUCAAGCCAGGAAGGCACGCAAUCUAACAAGACAACAUGAGUCAACUUCUGCUGGAUAUGCACGUGGCUUAAUGUGAGAGCAUCUGCCCAGCGUGUGCAAGGCCCAGGUGUAUUUUCAUUGCUUGAACAAAUUAACACAGCCACUGGUACUAAGACUGAACGGGUAGAUGGUGUCUUGUCAUCCAGCCCUGCAAAGAAGGACCGUCGGAAGCACUUUCCUCGACGCCAGUUGUGACCUAUCACCAAAGGAAGUCAAAGCAGGAACCUGGAGCAGAAACUGAAGAGACCACGAAGGAGUGCAGCUUACUGGAUUGCUCAUCUACCUUUCUUAUACAGUCCAAUCCCACCUGCCGAGGGAUGGCAUUACCCACAGAGGGCUGGGCCCUUCUAUAUGGAUUAGUGACCAAGAAAAUUCUCCCCACAGGAUUGGCCACAGGCCAGUAUGAUGGCUAUAAUUUUUAAAUGAGGUUGCCUCGUCCCAGGUAUGUCAAGUUGGCAAGCAAGAUUAGCUACCACAGUUGCUGAGUGGGCAUAUCCUUACAGCAUUGAUCUUGAAAGGCACUUGAUGGUUCACCCCUCUAUGGACCUAAACUCAUACUUCCUUUCAAGCAGAAAAAAAAAAACACCGAGAGGUUUGCUUUCAUGGUGUGACUGUCUUGGAAGGAACAUGAAUGGGAAGAUGGCACCGAGAGAGUUGAGGAUGAGAGAGCUGGAUGGUCUUCCUCUGAAUGGACAGAGGAAGUCAAAUCUCUUCUUGUGAAUGCUCAUGAGAGGGUGUUUUAAUAGUGGCUACAGUAACACUUCUCUUGUGGCACAAAUUUGUCUUUUCCCCCAAAGAGCUCUUGGAUCGAGUGACCAUGAUAGAGGGACUGUAAUGGAUCAUCCCCAUGGACUUCUACUCUCCAAGGGUAAUCUGGACGUAGCUAAUGUUGAGCAUCUGACUGGCCACAGCAGAGACUGAAACUGAGUCCUUAAUAUGCACUGUUCCCGUGGGAAGGUCAAUGCUUCUUAUUGGAAUCAAUAUUUACUGUGGUUAUGGAUAUGGGGACUAAACACAACGUCUCAGAAAACUAUCAUCCAUAAGCUUAUGAAGGGCUUCAGUCACCACUGUGGCAUUCCACACAGUAUUGCUUCUGAUCAAGGAACUUCAUAGCAACUGAUCUAUGGCCAGAGUAUCAUGGUCAUGUAACACCCUAUAACUCCAGAGUAACAGAAGAGUAAAAUGGCCUUCGGGAAUUCUUCCACAGCAUAAGCUAGCCAUACCUCAAAGGACUGUAGCAAUGUCCUUCAAAGGGCUACUCAAUGCAAUGAGUUGGCAACGAAUAUAUAAUGUUCCUCUGAACACAGUUAGCACUCAUAUACCUAGGAUAACAUCGCUCAACUUUGCCUCUUGAAAGUCACUAGGAACCAUCCUUAUGACUGUAGGUUCUGCUGGUCUAGAGCUUUUGGGUUUUACUGAGACUAAGCCUACCAACAGACACGUGAUUCCAGUGGAAUAAAAAUUAUGACUACCAUCUGAACAGUUUGGAGUCUUCCUUCCUUUUAGUAAACAGGCAAAGAAGAAAGAUUACUGCACUGGCUGAGGGUGUUGGUCCUAAUUUUCAAGCAGAAAUUGGGUCAGUACUGUACAAAGGUGUUUAGGAACAGUAUGUAAGGAAGUCAUUUAGAGUGUUUCUUAGUAAUACUGCUAUAAAAAUAAAUGUUUGUGUCCUCCUAGAUUUGUAUGUUCUGAGCUGUAUUUCCUAAUAUGGAAGCAUUUUGAAGUGGUGUUUUGGAAAGAAAAUGAAUUUGUUAGGGUUGAAUUCAUUUGGAAUCAGUAACCUCACAUGGGAGAUGACCUCACUUUCUGCUUUGUGAGCCUACAAGAGGAAGGUGCUGAUGCUUACAAAUCAGGAAGAAGACCCCACUUGAAACCAAACUAGCCAGCCUCUACAACUGCGACACAUCUUCUGUUGUCUAAGCCACCUGACUUAUGAUACUUUGUUUAGGAGCUUGAGCGAAUAACAACUACCAUUCUCUUGACAUCGGUCAGUGGACGGAAAACUACAGCAGCCCAGUUCAAACAGCUCUGCCGAGUAGGGGAAUAACAGCUCCUUCCCUUCAGGUAUGAAGGAAUGGGUCACCUCACUGGGCAAGUCCCACAUUCAGCUAACAUGCUGGCUACAGGCAGAAAAAAAAGACCAUGGAAAAGCUGGAAGAAAGCGGCUAUAAAUCCCACCCAUGGUUAUGUGACGAUUUGUAGAAAUAAGAACUGUAAGUACCAUGAAUAGUUCUUUUGUAUUUUAUUUUAGACCUUUUAUACAAAAUCUUUUGGUGUCUCCCUUUCCUAUCCUCAUAUUACCCAACAGAAUUUUAGGAAUCACAGUUAACUUUAUGUCAUGGUAUUUAUGUAAGUUAUCAAAGAGAACAGUUGAAGAUCACCAAUAACCUUUGUCACCCUCUUCAAGAUGGAAGCUUGCACUUUGGAUAUACACAGAAUCAUUGUACCAUGUCACUCAGUGUAUAGCUUUGUCCUUUUCUGUGAGUGUUUAAGUGUGACUUAAGGAAUGGAUGUGGGUGGAUGUAACAAGGGUGGCCUGAGCUGGCUAGUUUUAUGCAUCAGCUCCACCCACUCAGCUAGGUGUUUCCUCAUAGGUGUUUUGUAGCUAUUAGUCACUGCUACAGUGGGUUGGUUUUAAGCAAAGAAGAUUAUCCUCAAUAAUCUGAGUGGGUCUGACUACGGUCUCUCAGUUUCUCUGAGUCAGAGAAAGUCUGAGUGGCCUCCAGAGUCCAGGGUUUAUAGCUUGUCUUUCCUGGUCACACACACACACACACACACACACACACACACACACACACCCCUCUUUUUGCCUUUGAGACUUCACCUGAUACAGUCCCAGCUUCCUUCAAAAAAGCAAAGGACAUCAAAAUACAAUAUUUCCCAUAAACAUAAAAAUUCAUACCAAAAAUUUAAGAACAAUACAUUCAUGAACUUGAAAAAAAGCUAGUGAAGGACCUGAAAGUCAAUCAUUGAAAUUCAUUACUUUAGCACAAUAAAAGAGAAAAGCCGUACCAUUGCCUUGAUAGAACAGCAUCAACAAAUUCUAUAUUUGCGUGCACUAAAAAUUGUCAGUAAAUGAAAGCCAGAGUGAACUCCCCUGAGUACAUUAAAGAAUAUCUGUGAAAACUACAAUAAGCAUUGCACUUAGCACCAAAAUACUGGCUGCUCCCCGGCUGGGGACGAGAGUUAGGCAGGGGUGUUUAUCUUAUUGUUUCCAGUUGUCACUGAACAUCAAGGCCACAACCAGGGCAAUAAAGCAAGAAAAGAAAUAAGUAUCAUGAAUAUAAUUGUAUAAAAGAUAAAGCUGUUUUUACAUAUAGCAUGCUUGCUGUAUAUGCUUAGU
This is a long non-coding RNA of Mus pahari (shrew mouse), 3481 nucleotides long. RefSeq lists it as uncharacterized. The transcript is spliced from 3 exons. The record is from RefSeq and is a predicted model, not a curated record. Lineage: Eukaryota; Metazoa; Chordata; Mammalia; Rodentia; Muridae.